RNAcentral lists this ribosomal RNA (229 nucleotides) under uncultured bacterium. Its description in RNAcentral is "partial 16S ribosomal RNA". It matches the Rfam family "Bacterial small subunit ribosomal RNA", at positions 568 to 796 of the family's 1533-position model. The record is from RNAcentral.
UCCGUAGGCGGGUUUAUAAGUCAGUGGUGAAAGUUUGCGGCUCAACCGUAAAAUUGCCAUUGAUACUGUAGACCUUGAAUUAGUGUGAAGUGGUUAGAAUGUGUAGUGUAGCGGUGAAAUGCAUAGAUAUUACACAGAAUACCAAUUGCGAAGGCAGAUCACUAACACUAUAUUGACGCUGAGGGACGAAAGUGUGGGGAGCGAACAGGAUUAGAUACCCUGGUAGUCC